Mya arenaria is the source of this 732-nucleotide long non-coding RNA. RefSeq lists it as uncharacterized. The transcript is spliced from 5 exons. NCBI's taxonomy places the organism in Eukaryota, Metazoa, Mollusca, Bivalvia, Myida, Myidae. The record is from RefSeq and is a predicted model, not a curated record.
UCAACAUCCGGUGUAAUUUUUGCUUGUAUUUCGGAGAAACUCGAUUGAUUUCUAGCAAACUUGGUUUACCACUACAUCGUCGCUUAUUAUUAUUUGAUACUGCCGAUGGUGAAGCUUGGGUGCACCGGGCCGGUUUUCCAGCCGUGUGGAAUCAACAUCUCCAGCUGAACUGGGGCCGGGAAUUAUAUAAGACUCCUUAGCAGCAUGAGUGCCAGCCAGUCAUUGCUGUUCUUGCAUUGCUGAGGAGGACAGUCCUGCCAACAUAACAGUUUGUUCAAUAACAGGAGACAAACAGAAACACAGAGGUGCUAUACAUUCUGAUGGAAAAACAAAAGCAUCUCCCAUCAUUUUGGCGUGGCUCAGAUCAAGAGGAGAAUUUUAAGAAAGGUGAUGGUUGGGCACACACAAGAAGACAUAGAUCACAGGUGUCUAGCCAUAUGAGUAGAUAGGAGUGUCACACUCUGCCAAACUUACUUCAUCAGACGAGCAGAAAGCUUCUCAAGAUCCCGCACUGCACACUAAGACAUAGUCUUUGACUACAACAAGGUGAUGAAAGUACAGAGGUCCAAUUGAAAUCAAUUCUGUGCUGCUGUCAUUUCUUCAUUCUGGAAGUCGAUGGACAUGAUUUAUUAUGGCAUCAAGUGUGCAGUUUGCCGACUAUCAGCAGUCUUGUUCACCAGCUGUGCAACUUGAGCUGGUAGCUUUAUUGCUUGAAGCCACUGCAUAAGAGGG